UCCGGUUUGUCACCGGCAGUCUGGCGUGAGUCCCCAACUUAAUGAUGGCAACACACCACGGGGGUUGCGCUCGUUGCGGGACUUAACCCAACAUCUCACGACACGAGCUGACGACAGCCAUGCAGCACCUGUGUUACGGCUCUCUUUCGAGCACCCCCCGAUCUCUCAAAGGUUCCGUACAUGUCAAGGGUAGGUAAGGUUUUUCGCGUUGCAUCGAAUUAAUCCACAUCAUCCACUGCUUGUGCGGGUCCCCGUCAAUUCCUUUGAGUUUUAGUCUUGCGACCGUACUUCCCAGGCGGAGAACUUAAUGCGUUAGCUACGGCACCGCAGGGGUCAACUCCCGCGACACCUAGUUCUCAUCGUUUACGGCGUGGACUAC
RNAcentral lists this unclassified non-coding RNA (379 nucleotides) under uncultured Pseudomonadota bacterium. RNAcentral describes it as "uncultured proteobacterium contains 16S-23S intergenic spacer region". Lineage: Bacteria; Pseudomonadati; Pseudomonadota. The record is from RNAcentral.